UGCAAAACGUGCAGUGUUGGGGUGCCUCCAGGACCAGGGUUGGGAACCAUGGGUCUAUGCUACCAAUCAUCAUACUACUUUAAAUUUGCUUUGUCUACAAAAAUAUGAGGUGUAGUUUAUAUAGAGAUGAUGGGGUGUGGAUGUGGAGCAGGUGAGCAUCUGUUGGACAGGCUAAAGACCAGCUGUGUUUGUUUGGUUGCUGAUAAGACAUGUUCCACAGCCCUGAAGAGAG
RNAcentral lists this long non-coding RNA (232 nucleotides) under Sinocyclocheilus anshuiensis. Its description in RNAcentral is "lncRNA (ENSSANG00000024788.1)". Lineage: Eukaryota; Metazoa; Chordata; Actinopteri; Cypriniformes; Cyprinidae. The record is from RNAcentral.